AGCAGCCGCGGUAAUUCCAGCUCCAAUAGCGUAUAUUAAAGUUGUUGCAGUUAAAAAGCUCGUAGUUGAAUUUCGGGAUCAAUAUGUCGGUCGUGCUUCGGUACGUACUGGCGUUAUUGGUUUCUCCCUUCUGAAGAACCACGAUGUCAUUAAUUUGGUGUCGUGGGGAAUCAGGACUGUUACUUUGAAAAAAUUAGAGUGUUUAAAGCAGGCUCGCGCUUGAAUACAUUAGCAUGGAAUAAUGAAAUAGGACGUUUGAUUCUAUUUUGUUGGUUUCUAGGAUCGACGUAAUGAUUAAUAGGGAUAGUUGGGGGCAUUAGUAUUCAAUUGUCAGAGGUGAAAUUCUUGGAUUUAUUGAAGACUAACUACUGCGAAAGCAUUUGCCAAGGAUGUUUUCAUUAAUCAAGAACGAAAGUUAGGGGAUCGAAGACGAUCAGAUACCGUCGUAGUCUUAACCAUAAACUAUGCCGACUAGGGAUCGGAUGAUGUUAAUUUUUUAAUGACUCAUUCGGCGCCUUACG
RNAcentral lists this ribosomal RNA (521 nucleotides) under uncultured Glomeraceae. Its description in RNAcentral is "SSU rRNA". It matches the Rfam family "Eukaryotic small subunit ribosomal RNA", at positions 569 to 1092 of the family's 1831-position model. Lineage: Eukaryota; Fungi; Glomeromycota; Glomeromycetes; Glomerales; Glomeraceae. The record is from RNAcentral.